GACGAACGCUGGCGGCGUGCUUAACACAUGCAAGUCGAACGGAAAGGCCCUGCGUUUGUGGGGUGCUCGAGUGGCGAAGGGGUGAGUAACACGUGAGUAACCUGCCCUUGACUUUGGGAUAACUUCAGGAAACUGGGGCUAAUACAGGAUAGGAGAUCAUGCUGCAUGGUGGGGGUUGGAAAGUGUCGGCGGUUGGGGAUGGACUCGCGGCUGAAGAGGUUGUGGGUGGGGUAGGGGCUGACCAAGGAUUUGGCGGGUACGCCGCCUGGGAGGGUGGACGGCCUCCUUGCUCCUGCGAUACGCCGCAGUCUCCUACGUUAGGCAGCAGUGGGGAAUAUUGCCCAGUGGGCGGACGUCUGUUGCAGCAACGCCCCGUGCGUGAUGACCGCCUUCGGGUUGUAAACCGCUUCCGCCUGUUACGCCGCUGUUGUGACGGUAAUGGGUAAAGAAGCACCGGCUAACUACGUG
RNAcentral lists this ribosomal RNA (468 nucleotides) under uncultured bacterium. RNAcentral's name for it is "partial 16S ribosomal RNA". It matches the Rfam family "Bacterial small subunit ribosomal RNA", at positions 28 to 507 of the family's 1533-position model. The record is from RNAcentral.